GGAUUGUAGCUCAGUGGUAAAGCACUUGCCUAGCAUGUGUGAGGCACUGGGUUUGAUCCUCAGCACCA
This 68-nucleotide transfer RNA is filed under the name Marmota monax (woodchuck). RNAcentral's name for it is "tRNA.Ala". Lineage: Eukaryota; Metazoa; Chordata; Mammalia; Rodentia; Sciuridae. The record is from RNAcentral.